CCUCUCGUAUUUUUUUCUUCAAGGACUUUUUUCCCAGAGCAACAUCUCUUUUUCAUAUACACACACAAACUCUCGUCAUGCCAGAGUCCGCAGACGUUCCUGCCCAGUGCCAGGUGCUCAAAGAGGAAGUGGACAAAUGUGUCCAGGCGAAGGGGCCAGAGGGCUGUAAGGAGCUGCUGGAGGCUUUUGAGGCCUGUGUGAAAAGCGCCGCUGCAGCCUCAUGAGAGGAAAAAUGUCUGUUUCAAAGGUGCUCCUUCUUUGGGUCCUCCAAUAUCCCUGCAUUCCUCACUGCAUUGUGCGCUGGACUGAACCAUUUUAACGACGGCAGAGGGGGUGUCGGUGCCGCAAAGUCCAGGAAUUUGCCUCUUCUGAAAUGGAGACGUCUUGAUGAUGUCACUGAUAAUGCCCAUGUCAUUUGUAAACAUAGCAGCAAGAAGAAGCCACUGUAUUUAGAUCUGGUCAUCAGUUAUUUCUCUUUAUGUAGGAAAAACAAUGUUCAGUUAAGAUUUUUCAAUAAAAUCAGUAUAACUGUUAA
Long non-coding RNA from Colossoma macropomum (tambaqui), 535 nucleotides. RefSeq lists it as uncharacterized. The transcript has 3 exons. NCBI's taxonomy places the organism in Eukaryota, Metazoa, Chordata, Actinopteri, Characiformes, Serrasalmidae. The record is from RefSeq and is a predicted model, not a curated record.